This 429-nucleotide ribosomal RNA is filed under the name Actinomycetes bacterium. RNAcentral's name for it is "Actinobacteria bacterium partial 16S ribosomal RNA". It matches the Rfam family "Bacterial small subunit ribosomal RNA", at positions 355 to 776 of the family's 1533-position model. RNAcentral also lists the same sequence under 1 other name. The record is from RNAcentral. Lineage: Bacteria; Bacillati; Actinomycetota; Actinomycetes.
UAGGGAAUCUUCCGCAAUGGGCGAAAGCCUGACGGAGCAACGCCGCGUGAGUGAUGAAGGUCUUCGGAUCGUAAAACUCUGUUAUUAGGGAAGAACAAAUGUGUAAGUAACUAUGCACGUCUUGACGGUACCUAAUCAGAAAGCCACGGCUAACUACGUGCCAGCAGCCGCGGUAAUACGUAGGUGGCAAGCGUUAUCCGGAAUUAUUGGGCGUAAAGCGCGCGUAGGCGGUUUUUUAAGUCUGAUGUGAAAGCCCACGGCUCAACCGUGGAGGGUCAUUGGAAACUGGAAAACUUGAGUGCAGAAGAGGAAAGUGGAAUUCCAUGUGUAACGGUGAAAUGCGCAGAGAUAUGGAGGAACACCAGUGGCGAAGGCGACUUUCUGGUCUGUAACUGACGCUGAUGUGCGAAAGCGUGGGGAUCAAACAGG